Molecule: unclassified non-coding RNA, 248 nt
Filed under: Scytalidium lignicola
Lineage: Eukaryota; Fungi; Ascomycota; Leotiomycetes
Description: partial internal transcribed spacer region
Rfam family: Eukaryotic small subunit ribosomal RNA (bases 1-46)
Source: RNAcentral
AAGUCGUAACAAGGUCUCCGUAGGUGAACCUGCGGAGGGAUCAUUACAGAGUUCAUGCCCUCAUGGGUAGAUCUCCCACCCUUGCGUAUUUAUACCUUUGUUGCUUUGGCAGGCCGCCUGGGCUCGCGCCUGGCCACCGGCUCCCGGGCUGGUGCGUGCCUGCCAGAGGAUCUCCAAACUCUAGUUAUCAGUGUUGUCUGAGUACUAUACAAUAGUUAAAACUUUCAACAACGGAUCUCUUGGUUCUG